GUGGGGAAUCUUAGACAAUGGGGGCAACCCUGAUCUAGCCAUGCCGCGUGAGUGAUGAAGGCCUUAGGGUCGUAAAGCUCUUUCGCUGGGGAAGAUAAUGACGGUACCCAGUAAAGAAACCCCGGCUAACUCCGUGCCAGCAGCCGCGGUAAUACGGAGGGGGUUAGCGUUGUUCGGAAUUACUGGGCGUAAAGCGCGCGUAGGCGGAUUGGAAAGUUGGGGGUGAAAUCCCGGGGCUCAACCCUGGAAUGGCCUUCAAAACUCCCAGUCUUGAGGUCGAGAGAGGUGAGUGGAAUUCCGAGUGUAGAGGUGAAAUUCGUAGAUAUUCGGAGGAACACCAGUGGCGAAGGCGGCUCACUGGCUCGAUACUGACGCUGAGGUGCGAAAGCGUGGGGAGCAAACAGGAUUAGAAACCCGGGUAGUCC
RNAcentral lists this ribosomal RNA (425 nucleotides) under uncultured bacterium. RNAcentral describes it as "bacterial SSU rRNA". It matches the Rfam family "Bacterial small subunit ribosomal RNA", at positions 354 to 796 of the family's 1533-position model. The record is from RNAcentral.